This 322-nucleotide ribosomal RNA is filed under the name Bacillus thuringiensis. RNAcentral describes it as "bacterial SSU rRNA". It matches the Rfam family "Bacterial small subunit ribosomal RNA", at positions 1209 to 1529 of the family's 1533-position model. The record is from RNAcentral. Lineage: Bacteria; Bacillati; Bacillota; Bacilli; Caryophanales; Bacillaceae.
CUGGGCUACACACGUGCUACAAUGGACGGUACAAAGAGCUGCAAGACCGCGAGGUGGAGCUAAUCUCAUAAAACCGUUCUCAGUUCGGAUUGUAGGCUGCAACUCGCCUACAUGAAGCUGGAAUCGCUAGUAAUCGCGGAUCAGCAUGCCGCGGUGAAUACGUUCCCGGGCCUUGUACACACCGCCCGUCACACCACGAGAGUUUGUAACACCCGAAGUCGGUGGGGUAACCUUUUUGGAGCCAGCCGCCUAAGGUGGGACAAAUGAUUGGGGUGAAGUCGUAACAAGGUAGCCGUAUCGGAAGGUGCGGUUGGAUCACCUC